Molecule: transfer RNA, 98 nt
Rfam family: tRNA
About the family: Transfer RNA (tRNA) molecules are approximately 80 nucleotides in length.
GGCCUGGUGGUCUAGUAGUAUGAUUCCUUCUUAGGGUUGUCCCCGCCAAGGUGACGCCAGCAUGGAGGAGGUCCCGGGUUCAAUUCCCGGCCAGGCCC